CAUGUAGGCGGAUUAAUAAGUUUGAAGUGAAAUCCUAUAGCUUAACUAUAGAACUGCUUUGAAAACUGUUAAUCCAGAAUGUGGGAGAGGUAGAUGGAAUUUCUGGUGUAGGGGUAAAAUCCGUAGAGAUCAGAAGGAAUACCGAUUGCGAAGGCGAUCUACUGGAACAUUAUUGACGCUGAGAUGCGAAAGCGUGGGGAGCAAACA
This 207-nucleotide ribosomal RNA is filed under the name uncultured bacterium. RNAcentral's name for it is "partial 16S ribosomal RNA". It matches the Rfam family "Bacterial small subunit ribosomal RNA", at positions 568 to 774 of the family's 1533-position model. The record is from RNAcentral.